Molecule: ribosomal RNA, 727 nt
Filed under: Proasellus sp. n. Lentegi
Lineage: Eukaryota; Metazoa; Arthropoda; Malacostraca; Isopoda; Asellidae
Description: eukaryotic LSU rRNA
Rfam family: Eukaryotic large subunit ribosomal RNA
Source: RNAcentral
AACGUGAAACUACCACGAGGUUAAAGCGGAUGUACAUACGUAGCCGACCGGGUGGGCUCAUCUUCUCGAGCUUCCAGCGGUCGUCGCGUUCGGACCGUCGCCACACUCGGAUCCCCUUCGGGGGUAACGACUGGCGUCGGCCGUCGCGGCGGCGGACUCGGAGGAGAGAGCGGUGGAUUCCCCUCCCCAGUAGGCAGUCGCGGCCGUUCGAGAGUUGUCUAAGACCCGGGAGUUGGGAACCGUCCGGCGUUUUACGCGUCGGCGGGGACUCUCCCUCGAUUCUGGCGGACUUUCGGACGGUGGAUGAAAAAUGACGACGUAGAGGAGAGCAAUUCCCUCGUCGUACGCGGCUGUAACGCGAUCGUUCAUCCGUCCCGUCUUGAAACACGGACCAAGGAGUCUAACAUGUACGCGAGUCAAAGGGUUGGCUAAACCCCUAGGCGUAACGAAAGUAAAAAAGAAGCCUUUUUUUUUUUUAAAAGAGAAAGGCUUCGUUGGGUCGAUCCGUGCUCCCUAUUACAAGGACCGGCGCAGACCCGGGGCUCGCCGCUACCUCCUCGAGAUUCGUCUCGAGGCGGGCGGCGGGCACCUAGAGCGUACAUGCUAGUACCCGAAAGAUGGUGAUCUAUGCCUGGCCAGGAUGAAGCCAGAGGAAACUCUGGUGGAGGUCCGUAGCGAUUCUGACGUGCAAAUCGAUCGUCGGAGCUGGGUAUAGGGGCGAAAGACC